This 119-nucleotide ribosomal RNA is filed under the name Triticum dicoccoides. Lineage: Eukaryota; Viridiplantae; Streptophyta; Magnoliopsida; Poales; Poaceae. The record is from RNAcentral.
GGAUGCAAUCAUACCAGCACUAAAGCACCGGAUCCCAUCAGAACUCCGAAGUUAAGCGUGCUUGGGCGAGAGUAGUACUAUGAUGGGUGACCUCCUGGGAAGUCCUCGUGUUGCAUUCC